Molecule: ribosomal RNA, 462 nt
Filed under: uncultured bacterium
Lineage: Bacteria
Description: partial 16S ribosomal RNA
Rfam family: Bacterial small subunit ribosomal RNA
Source: RNAcentral
GACGAACGCUGGCGGCGUGCUUAACACAUGCGAGUCGAGCGACGCUCUUCCUUCGGGGAGAUGACGGAGCGGCGAACGGGUGAGUAACACGUGGGCAACCUGCCCCUAGCUCUGGGACAACACCGGGAAACCGGUGCUAAUACCGGAUACGACAUCGAGCGGCAUCUCUCGAUGUGGAAAGUUUUUUCGGCUAGGGAUGGGCCCGCGGCCUAUCAGCUUGUUGGUGGGGUAAUGGCCCACCAAGGCGACGACGGGUAGCCGGCCUGAGAGGGCGACCGGCCACACUGGGACUGAGACACGGCCCAGACUCCUACGGGAGGCAGCAGUGGGGAAUAUUGCGCAAUGGGCGAAAGCCUGACGCAGCGACGCCGCGUGAGGGAUGACGGCCUUCGGGUUGUAAACCUCUUUCAGCAGGGACGAAUUCAGACGGUACCUGCAGAAGAAGCACCGGCCAACUACGUG